RNAcentral lists this ribosomal RNA (162 nucleotides) under uncultured bacterium. Its description in RNAcentral is "partial 16S ribosomal RNA". It matches the Rfam family "Bacterial small subunit ribosomal RNA", at positions 393 to 539 of the family's 1533-position model. The record is from RNAcentral.
AACGCCGCGUGAGUGAAGAAGGUCUUCGGAUUGUAAAGCUCUGUCCUUAGGGAAGAACCGUGGGUAUAGUUAAUGAUACCCACCUGACGGUACCUUUGGAGGAAGCACUGGCUAACUACGUGCCAGCCACCGCGGUGACUGAGCGGGCUGGCAAGGCGCAUA